RNAcentral lists this ribosomal RNA (500 nucleotides) under uncultured bacterium. Its description in RNAcentral is "partial 16S ribosomal RNA". It matches the Rfam family "Bacterial small subunit ribosomal RNA", at positions 30 to 523 of the family's 1533-position model. The record is from RNAcentral.
AUUGAACGCUGGCGGCAGGCUUAACACAUGCAAGUCGGGCGGGGGAAGGUAGCUUGCUACCGGACCUAGCGGCGGACGGGUGAGUAAUGCUUAGGAAUCUGCCUAUUAGUGGGGGACAACAUCUCAAAAGGGAUGCUAAUACCGCAUAUGUCCUACGGGAGAAAGCAGGGGAUCUUCGGACCUUGCGCUAAUAGAUGAGCCUAAGUCGGAUUAGCUAGUUGGUGGGUAAAGGCCUACCAAGGCGACGAUCUGUAGCGGGUCUGAGAGGAUGAUCCGACACACUUGAACAUAGACAAGGGCCGGACUCCAGCGGGAGGCAGCAGUGGGGAAUAUUGGACAAUGGGGGGAACCCUGAUCCAGCCAUGCCGCGUGUGUGAAGAAGGCCUUAUGGUUGUAAAGCACUUUAAGCGAGAAGGAGGCUACUCUAGUUAAUACCUAGUGAUAGUGGACGUUACUCGCAGAAUAAGCACCGGCUAACUCUGUGCCAGCCGCCGCCGUAA